This 422-nucleotide ribosomal RNA is filed under the name uncultured bacterium. Its description in RNAcentral is "bacterial SSU rRNA". It matches the Rfam family "Bacterial small subunit ribosomal RNA", at positions 355 to 774 of the family's 1533-position model. The record is from RNAcentral.
UGAGGAAUAUUGGGCAAUGCCCGAAAGGGUGACCCAGCAACGCCGCGUGGAGGAUGAAUGUCGUCAGAUUGUAAACUUCUGUUAGAGGGGAAGAAUAGUACCGGUUGGACCGUUAUAUGACUGUACCCUCAGAGAAAGCACAGGCUAACUACGUGCAAGCAGCCGCGGCAAUACGUAGGGGACAAGCGUGGUCCGGAUUUACUGGGUGUAAAGGGCGGGCAGGCGGGAUAAAAAGUCAGUGGUGAAAUCCUACAGCUUAACUGCAGAACUGCCGUUGAUACUGUUACACUUGAGUGCGGGAGAGGGGAACGGAAUUCCAGGUGUAGUGGUGAAAUACGCAGAUAUCUGGAAGAACACCAGUUGCGAAGGCGGUCUCUUGGUCCGACACUGACGCUGAGGCGCGAAAGCGUGGGGAGCAAACA